Molecule: long non-coding RNA, 3256 nt
Organism: Ostrea edulis (European flat oyster)
Lineage: Eukaryota; Metazoa; Mollusca; Bivalvia; Ostreida; Ostreidae
Exons: 2
Source: RefSeq, a predicted model, not a curated record
GGGUGGGGGGGUGGGGGGGGGGGGGGGGGCUACAGUUAGAUAAUAUUCUGGUCAGCACAUUCGAUAAACUACAUGGAAUUCAUUAAAUCACUUCUUUUUCUUUCAGUGGUCUUCAACUUUUAAUCUCCAAGAAGGAAAUGUAAUUAAAAGAUGAAUAAAGUAUCCCUAAGAAUACCAGAAGAAAGGCUAUGUGUUGAGAAAAACAGCCCUUCCUCAGUACCUCAGAACUAGAUGAUAGCCCUUAAUUGUUACUUUAUGCUGAAUAUGACACAGUAUAGAAGAUCUGAUCAUGAAGAAGUAACACCAUUGAUACACUUGCCAACUGCCAAAAUUACUUUCUGAUAGUAUGACGAGAUUAGAAGAUAUCAUGGUGUAGUCAUGACACAAACUGCAAAAUCAAAGAAUUAAUUGUCUUCCCCAGAGGAUGAACAGAGCAAGAUGGCUUCACAUGGAUAACAUUUCCUUUCGAGUUUUGAAAUUAAUUUGUCAGAAUGUUAUGCAUCGUUAUCAACAGAAAAGAACUUCAUAGGUAGACCAAAGCUGACAUGGGAUGAGAUCCUAGAACAAGACCUAGAGUUUACAGGAUUGGAUAGGAUCAAUCCACUGGGUCGCCAGGUGUGGAAGUACAAACUUCAACCUCGACAGGACAGCCAGGCCUCACCCUUGCAAAAAGAUUAAUUUGGCCUGGAUAGUCAAAAUGAGUGAUGAUGAUUGAUAUCAAGGUCUGACACUGGAAGCUCAGUAAGGGUAGAUGCUGGCAAUGGAGCUGUUUAGCAAUAAAACAAACAAGUUUAACAUUAAACAUGUUUGUAUACUUUUUUGGCUCACCUGAGCCAAAGGCUCAAGUGAGCUUUUCUGAUCACCUUUGCCUGUCGUCUGUCUGUUUAUAAACUUUUCACAUUUUCAUUUUCUUCUCCAGAGUGAACCACUGGGCCAGUUUCAAUCAAACUUGGUAUGCAUCAUCAAUAGAUAAAGGGUAUUCAAGUUUGUUCAUAUAAAGGGUCAUGCACCCUUCAAAAAGGAAAUAAUCAUGGAAAUGCAAAAAUAGGGUGGGGUCAUUUAAAAAACCUUUUCAAGAACCACUGGACCAGGAAAGUUGAAUUCACACGAAAGGUUCCUGUUCUGUGCAAAUCAUGGUCUCUGAGGGUAGGGUGGGGUCACAAUAGAGAAUCAAAGUUUUACAUUCAUAUAUAGUGCAUAUUCAAGUUUGUAAAAAGCUCACAGGGGUAGGGUGGGGGUCACAAUAGCGGAUUUAAGUUUUACAUGUGAAAUAUAUACAAGGAAAAUCUUUUAAAAUCUUCUCCUCAAAAACUAGAUGCAGAACCGUAGCUCUUUGAAAAGAGAGCUUCAGAUGAACCCCUUAUAAAAAAAACUUCAAUUUAUGGCAGAGAACAAAAGUGCAUGUUUAAGUCCCUCUAUCACUGCAUUCCUGCAUCGCUGUCUCAUGAAUUUAAUAUUAAAUAAUUCCCAACAUAUUUUCCCACUAUACUUGUUUCCAAACAUACUUUCAAAUAUUUUCUAAACCCACAUAUAACCCCAAAACAGCUUCAAGUGAUUUCAAUUUCUUUGUUGAUGUAGCCAUGUUAAGUAGCCAGUCAAUUUGAAACCCAGUUCAUUUCCAUACUCAUACUCAUUUUGAAACAUAAUGUCUGUGUGAACUAAUAUCCUCACAAAUAUUUUUAGUGAAAUAUUUAGGAUGAAAUCAUCCCAGUUGGGUUAAAUACUUAUUAUUCAAAUACUGUAGGUUUGAAUAUUGAACUAAUCUCACAGCUUUCUUAAGUUUGGUCCCCAUCCCCACCAGUCUGUUUUUACGCUUAACUAUUGAAAUGGAGUGUAAGGGAUCAGACUAGGCUUUUAUAGCAUUAUCAAUUUUCAAAAGCUUUAGAAAAAUUAUACAAUUUUAGGUCACUUGAGUAAACUCAGAUGACAUAUUGCUAUUGAUCUGCAUCUGUUGUAGUCCGUCGACAUUAACAAUUGAACAUUUUAAACUAAAUUCUAUAACUGAAAGAUGAAGAUACCGCACAGCGAUCAAUCUAUGAUUCAAAUAACGGAAUUCUUUUCAAAUUUAGUAUGAAGCACACAAAUUUACAUUAAACCUUCUUGACAUAGUGCAUAUUCAAGUUUGUUAAAAUCAUUUCCCCGGGAGUUAUGGUGUGGUAACAAUAGGGGGUCAAAGUUUUAUAUGCUAGCUGAUAUAAAGGAAAAUUCUUUAAAGAUAUCUCUUGAACUAUUUAAGCUAGGACUUUCAUAUCUUGUAUAUACAAUUUUUAUGGCAAAACAAAUCUGACCUAUUCAGUAUGUCCUGAACUACAUUGUGUUUAAGGUAGAUCUUUCAUAUAUAUUAUAUAUUUUGAAUUUCUUAUGAUAAAACCUUUCAUCUUGUUGAGGAGCCUCUCACCUCUGGUUGGCACGGGUUUGAAUCCUGCUCGCACCGGUAAUUGAGAAAGUUUUCCAGUUUACUCUCGGAAGGUCGGGGGUCUCUUCCCAGGUACAUUGUAUCUGGGUUCUCUCUUCCACCAAUAAAAACUGGGCACCACCAGAUAACUGAAAAAUUGUUGAGUGUGGCGGAAAACAGUUAAAACAAUCAAUCAUAUUAUGUUAUUUGACCUUGUGACCCUGAACUCUGAGUUUGACAUACUUUUAAGAAAGUAUAACGUAUUAAGUAUAUCCAGGACUAUUUUAGAUAGGGCAUUUAUGUUUUGUAUAUUGAUUACUUAUGGCAAGGUCUUUCAUAUCAUACCAAGACCUACGACUUUUUACCUUGGUCUUAUCCAGAACAGCAAUAUCAUGCUAGUCAUAUCUUUGUCUUAUAUGAUUUCAUUUUAGUAAUGUUGUGUUCUUUAGAGCUAGGUUUGGGUCACAUUAUUCAUGAGAAUAAAGAUUGAUAAAAUAGCAUUUAAAAAUCAAAACAGCAGGGCCAAGAUGACUCAGGUGAGCGAUGUGGCCCAUGGGCCUCUUGUUGAUUUUGAUAUUUCUACCUAUAUCAUUUGUAUGAGAAAUGGAACUCCUUUUUUUCUUUUACAAAUACAUGUAUUAUCAUAUGGAUCCAUCUUUGUUGAUUAUUUAAUCAAAGGACAUAUUCAAUUCAUUCAAUGUAUUAAAUGUAAAUUUAUGGAUAUGUCUGUGGUUGAAUUACUUAUGUAUGUAUGUAUACAUUUUUCUCGCACAUGCAAUUACAUAUAUGAUGUAUAUAUAUUUACUAAUUGUACAUGUAAUAUCCCCUGUUAUAUAAUAAAAUAUAUGACUGAGAAUAAAA